RNAcentral lists this ribosomal RNA (598 nucleotides) under uncultured Oscillatoriales cyanobacterium. Its description in RNAcentral is "bacterial SSU rRNA". It matches the Rfam family "Bacterial small subunit ribosomal RNA", at positions 164 to 796 of the family's 1533-position model. The record is from RNAcentral. Lineage: Bacteria; Bacillati; Cyanobacteriota; Cyanophyceae; Oscillatoriales.
UAAUACCGCAUAUGCCGAGAGGUGAAAGUUUAUUGCCUGAGGAUGAGCUCGCGUCUGAUUAGCUAGUUGGUGGGGUAAGAGCCUACCAAGGCGACGAUCCGUAGCUGGUCUGAGAGGAUGAUCAGCCACACUGGGACUGAGACACGGCCCAGACUCCUACGGGAGGCAGCAGUGGGGAAUUUUCCGCAAUGGGCGAAAGCCUGACGGAGCAAGACCGCGUGAGGGAAGACGGCCUAUGGGUUGUAAACCUCUUUUGAUAGGGAAGAAGGACUGACGGUACCUAUCGAAUCAGCCUCGGCUAACUCCGUGCCAGCAGCCGCGGUAAUACGGAGGAGGCAAGCGUUAUCCGGAAUUAUUGGGCGUAAAGCGUCCGUAGGUGGUUGGUCAAGUCAGCUGUUAAAGCGCGGAGCUUAACUCCGUAACGGCAGUGGAAACUGGUCAGCUAGAGUGCGAUAGGGGCAAGGGGAAUUCCCAGUGUAGCGGUGAAAUGCGUAGAUAUUGGGAAGAACACCGGUGGCGAAAGCGCCUUGCUGGGCCUGCACUGACACUGAGGGACGAAAGCUAGGGGAGCGAAAGGGAUUAGAUACCCCAGUAGUCC